CCUUAGCUAGUCACUCAAAGCUCUCCAGUUACACCAGCAGUGUACCAAAAACCAUCUUUCAGAAAUCUUUUUACACUCCACUGCAUUCACAUUUUACUUACCCCUUUCAGUCACAAUUCCCUGGGGUCUUCCCAGCUGCACUGCUGGGCAUUGCUGCCACCAAGCUCCAGUUCCCUCAGAUCCUACUCACUCAGGCUCUUUUAAGUCAUCUUGAUCUGAGUGGGGUCUCUCACAGCACCUGGUACAUCGGUUUCUUCCUCCUAUCCUAUGUCAUCACCCUGAGAUUCCUAAAUUCUUGUGAGAUGUUGCCAUGACUAAAACAUUCCCACUGCCUAUUGGAUGAUCAUGAAGCAUUCAGAACAGAAAAGAAAGUCAUAAAUGCUUUACAUAAGAGGUGGCACCUUAGGGCUUGAACAUGCAACCUGAGUCUUAUGAGCACUAAAAUAGCUGAUGAACAUGCUCCAAUACCAGGGAAAAGACAAAGGGAGAAGAGGCUGAUGCCCACCUGGCUGCACCCUCCUUUCAGGUGGUUGUAGAGAGUGAUAAAUUCUCCUCCAGGCUAAAGAAUCCCAGCUCCCUCAGCUGCUCUGGGCCUACCCAUCCUAACCCAGCAAAGGUCCCUUCUGUCCAAGCUGUGAGCUGCCAGCUUUUCCAGGAGGGUGCUGUGGGAGAUGGUGUUGAAGGCUUUG
Long non-coding RNA from Passer domesticus (house sparrow), 689 nucleotides. RefSeq lists it as uncharacterized. Lineage: Eukaryota; Metazoa; Chordata; Aves; Passeriformes; Passeridae. The record is from RefSeq and is a predicted model, not a curated record. The transcript is spliced from 4 exons.